Molecule: long non-coding RNA, 559 nt
Filed under: Mus musculus (house mouse)
Lineage: Eukaryota; Metazoa; Chordata; Mammalia; Rodentia; Muridae
Description: long non-coding RNA chr11:14524268-14524827
Source: RNAcentral
CCCUACAAAGAGAGCUGUGGAGAAAUAAGGGUCAUGUGGUAUGAGGUGACUGGUGGAACCUAAGGCGGUGUCGCCAUAGGAGAACUAGCAUCUUGUUGCAGAUUCUUGCAGUGAUAGUUUAAACAACAACAACAACAACAACAACAACAACAAGAAAAGACUUUAAAAUGGGUUUGGGAAGAACCUGGAAGCGAUCGGGAGCUUGAAUAAACAAUGAGAAGGCAUUUCUCACUGCCCUGAGAAAGACCCAACAAGCAGCUGAAAGAGUCAGAUACAGAUAUUUGCACACAAGCAAUGGACAGAAGCAGCUGACCUUUGUAUUACAGAAGGGUGAAGGAAGCUGAGAAGGGUGCUCCUGUAGGAGGACCAGCAAGAAUCUGGACCCCCGAGGGCACCAAAUAGACAGCAUACACCAGCUGAUAUGAGGCCCCCAACACACAUACAAUAGAGGACUUCCAGGUUUAUGUUCAUUCAGAAAUGAUGCACCUAGCCCUCAAGAGACUGGAGGCCCCAGGGAGCUUAGAGGUCAGGUGCGAUGGGGGUGGGUGGGAACAUCCAU